GUCUCCGUAGGUGAACCUGCGGAGGGAUCAUUACACAAUAACCAGGCGGGCUGGACACCCCCCGCUGGGCACUGCUUCACGGCGUGCGCGGCGGGGCCGGCCCUGCUGAAUUAUUCACCCGUGUCUUUUGCGUACUUCUUGUUUCCUGGGUGGGCUCGCCCGCCCUCAGGACCAACCACAAACCUUUUGCAAUAGCAAUCAGCGUCAGUAACAACGUAAUUAAUUACAACUUUCAACAACGGAUCUCUUGGUUCUGGCAUCGAUGAAGAACGCAGCGAAAUGCGAUAAGUAGUGUGAAUUGCAGAAUUCAGUGAAUCAUCGAAUCUUUGAACGCACAUUGCGCCCUUUGGUAUUCCAAAGGGCAUGCCUGUUCGAGCGUCAUUUGUACCCUCAAGCUUUGCUUGGUGUUGGGCGUCUUGUCUCUAGCUUUGCUGGAGACUCGCCCUAAAGUAAUUGGCAGCCGGCCUACUGGUUUCGGAGCGCAGCACAAGUCGCACUCUCUAUCAGCAAAGGUCUAGCAUCCAUUAAGCCUUUUUUUCAACUUUUGACCUCGGAUCAGGUAGGGAUACCCGCUGAACUUA
This 581-nucleotide ribosomal RNA is filed under the name uncultured fungus. RNAcentral's name for it is "eukaryotic LSU rRNA". The stretch from base 228 to 381 matches the Rfam family "5.8S ribosomal RNA". Lineage: Eukaryota; Fungi. The record is from RNAcentral.